Long non-coding RNA from Anolis sagrei ordinatus, 1015 nucleotides. RefSeq lists it as uncharacterized. The record is from RefSeq and is a predicted model, not a curated record. Lineage: Eukaryota; Metazoa; Chordata; Lepidosauria; Squamata; Anolidae.
UUCCUAACAUGGAGGCCGACUUACUGACUUCUAGGCUUCGGCCUACAAAGGUACGAAUCAUGACAGAGGCCCAAACAGCUGAAGGGCCACAGUUUGAGGAUGCCUGGUUUAUCAGCUAAUCUCUGAGACCUGUGAUCUCCUGCCUGCUCUUUCCUCUGCUCUAGAGAUGUGGGUUAAGUAUUUUCUGAAGCAGACUGUGGCAGUACGGCAAUCAGCAGCUCCAUUUGUCUUCAUAAAAUACAAUGGAAACAUACAAGAACAGUUGCCAUCACACCUUCAAGUAUCCACCUUUCCCUGCUUUCAAGUGAAUUGACAGGUCUGAAGUUUAUUGCUACUCGACUCCAAAAACAACGAUUUCUAGACACUUGAAAACCAAAAAAAAUCUGGUUAUUUUUUUGAAAUAGUCUUCAUUUGCCUUUCAGAAUAGGACAAUUGAGAUGUGUUAUAAAAGCCUGGUUAACAAUCUUCAAACCAUACUUGAUCUGGUAUUUGAAACACGUAGGGGUCAUAUCUUCCUGUGUUAACUUCUGUGCAGUUUGAUCUACAGGAAAGGUAGCCCUCUGUGUUUUGUUCCUUUCAGCAGUGAGAAAUGGAACUGCAAAAUUAUAUUUUCUGGUUAAUAUCAGCCAGCAUUUUGUGAUUCUUACCUACUCUAACCAAUUUAACCAUUUUUAGAAUUGAUAUUCAACUGCUUCAAAAAGAUGAGCUUAGGAAAGCCUUUUAAAAUAAUGGAAAGUAUAUGAAUCUAGUUCUUCUUAAUUCUGAAAUUUAUGGAUACUUUUUGAUCCUGUGUUUUUAUUAUAAGUUGCUUAUAGGGAUUGUUAUGGAUAAUGUGUUCCCGUGUUUCUAAUAUACUGUUAUGUGGCUAAACUUUACACAGAUUGAUUUAAAGACUGCAGUGUAUUUGUUUUGUUGUCUUAUAUCUAUUGCACAUGAUUUCAGGUAUCACUUACUGCCAAAAAAUUACAGCAUAAAGAUUACAAAAUAUGUAAAUAAAAACAUGUAUUGUUCUAGA